GAUGCAUGCCGCCACAACAGCUGCACCUGUGUCCUGAGGACCGGUCAGCCUCGGGAGGCAAGCUCUCACCGGCGAGGCAGAUGUGAAGUGAAGCUCCAGUCCGCUCAAUGUGAAUCCAUUAGCUCAUCCACAGGCGACAAUAAUUACACUCAGAGGGACGUUUGUUUCCGUCCAGUAGAGGGCGCCGACGCUCGCCUGCACAGCUCGGUAAACAGGCCAGAGGUGCCAUCCUCACACGGUGAACUCGGCACUGGUUUAGCCUCUCAAAAGCGCGGCUGCUGGAGGACGGGGGUGUAUUGUUAUUGUCAUGUGUGACUAGCCACCGUGUGGAAGAGAGCUGGCAGCACCUUUGACUGCCUGGAGCAGCUGAAGAUUGGAAGGAGAAUUAAGUGACCACAUAAAGAGCGCCCACCCACCCAACUGCGAUCACAAGGCCUCCUGUGCCAGGCUGAGAGAGGGGGCCAGGAGGAUACCCACACAGAAUGGCCACGACUCUCCCACAUAUUGUACCAGAUAACUUUGUCUCCGCAUUCCCAGCUAGGGACUGGGACAAGCCUCUCCUUGUGCUUAUUUACCAAGCAACCCCAAAGAGUUACAACAUCUCCAUCCUUCCUUUACUUAUUGUCUCUUUAGAGGCUCUCUCUCCCUCCCUCCCCCUCUCUCUCUCCCUCCCUCCCUCCCUCUCCCCCCUCUCUCUCCCUCCC
Long non-coding RNA from Mesocricetus auratus (golden hamster), 704 nucleotides. RefSeq lists it as uncharacterized. NCBI's taxonomy places the organism in Eukaryota, Metazoa, Chordata, Mammalia, Rodentia, Cricetidae. The record is from RefSeq and is a predicted model, not a curated record. The transcript is spliced from 4 exons.